AAAAGAGUCCAAAAAAUACCCACAUUUGUAUAAAUUUAGAAACAGAGAGCAGGAAUUGGAAUGAUCGGAAAUGAAAACCAGAACUUACAAAGUGCGAGAAAAGCUCUCUACAAGUUGAACAACAAGCCGCUCUUAUAAAAUUGUCACAUGUUAUUUAAUAUAACACAUUGAUAUAAAAAUUAAAAAUAAAAUUAAAAAAAUUAAGGUUGUGCAGUUGCAAACCAGAGACCACAGCCAGAUCCGCCUUUGCUAGAGUCCCCAUACAUAAGGACACCAUUAUUCGGGAAAUGACCCAAAGCACAUAAACGAAGAAAUGCAACGGAAUACCUAAACGAACUAAUCAUUAACUAAUAGGGGUUAUAUGAGAUAACCCCCUUAUUUAAUUUCCUAAGAAGGAUAAGUCCAAUUAAUAAUUCUACUUUUGGGAUAACUCCAUCCCAUAGCAAAAUACUUAUAUUACCCUUGUGGUGUAUUUUUGAAUUUUAAUGUUUAAUUUAAUUUCCCAAAGCAACUCCCCUAAAAAUCCGCCUAAUCCCCCAAAAUCACUCAAAAAAUCUCAAACCGUCUUUUCAGAUUACCCGUACAUCUCGUCGAUCACAUCGCAAAAAAAAAAAAAAAAACAGAACACGAAAUAAUCAAAAUUCUCUAUACUUUUCAAAUUACCCGUACAUCUCAUCGCUCCCAUCACAAAAAAAAAAACACCGGCUCUUUCUGUGUUGUCUGGGAAGAUGGAGAUCUCCGCCCUAGAGGAUGAACGAACCGCGGCGACUGAUAUGGUAGAUGACAAGAAGGCAGACGCAGGCGGUCCAUUAAGGCGGUGAUGAUGACGAAGCGGUGGAGGUCUCACGUCGGGAAAGAUGACCGAGAUUUGGAGAAGAUAUAUUUGCUAUUGUCGAGGAAAAGAGGGGGCGCCUGUUGAAAUAAAAAAAAAAUCGAGAAAAAACGUGUGGUAGAAUUAGGGUAGAUGUAAUUGAUUUAUUAUAAUUUAAUAUUAAAUUAUAUGUUUUGUUAAAUAAAAAAUUAGAUCUAUA
RNAcentral lists this long non-coding RNA (1031 nucleotides) under Erythranthe guttata (spotted monkey flower). Its description in RNAcentral is "long non-coding RNA (EGUT_LNC001671)". Lineage: Eukaryota; Viridiplantae; Streptophyta; Magnoliopsida; Lamiales; Phrymaceae. The record is from RNAcentral.